This 478-nucleotide ribosomal RNA is filed under the name uncultured bacterium. Its description in RNAcentral is "partial 16S ribosomal RNA". It matches the Rfam family "Bacterial small subunit ribosomal RNA", at positions 28 to 523 of the family's 1533-position model. The record is from RNAcentral.
GAUGAACGCUGACAGAAUGCUUAACACAUGCAAGUCUACUUGAAACACUUUCGGGUGUGGAUGGUGGCGGACGGGUGAGUAACGCGUAAAGAACUUGCCCCUCAGCCUGGGACAACUGUUGGAAACGACAGCUAAUACCGGAUAUUAUGAGACUCUGGCAUCAGAGACUUAUGAAAGCUAUAUGCGCUAAGGGAGAGCUUUGCGUCCUAUUAGCUAGUUGGUGAGGUAAUGGCUCACCAAGGCGACGAUAGGUAGCCGGCCUGAGAGGGUGAACGGCCACAAGGGGACUGAGACACGGCCCUUACUCCUACGGGAGGCAGCAGUGGGGAAUAUUGGACAAUGGACCAAAAGUCUGAUCCAGCAAUUCUGUGUGCUUGAUGAAGGCCUUCGGGUUGUAAAGAGCUUUAAGUAGGGAAGAAGAAAGUGACGGUACCUACAGAAUAAGCGACGGCUAAAUACGUGCCAGCAGCCGCAGUAA